RNAcentral lists this ribosomal RNA (465 nucleotides) under Vreelandella stevensii. Its description in RNAcentral is "partial 16S ribosomal RNA". It matches the Rfam family "Bacterial small subunit ribosomal RNA", at positions 338 to 795 of the family's 1533-position model. Lineage: Bacteria; Pseudomonadati; Pseudomonadota; Gammaproteobacteria; Oceanospirillales; Halomonadaceae. The record is from RNAcentral.
CCUACGGGGGGCAGCAGUGGGGAAUAUUGGACAAUGGGCGAAAGCCUGAUCCAGCCAUGCCGCGUGUGUGAAGAAGGCCUUCGGGUUGUAAAGCACUUUCAGUGGGGAAGAAAGCCUUGGGGCUAAUACCCUCGAGGAAGGACAUCACCCACAGAAGAAGCACCGGCUAACUCCGUGCCAGCAGCCGCGGUAAUACGGAGGGUGCGAGCGUUAAUCGGAAUUACUGGGCGUAAAGCGCGCGUAGGCGGUCUGAUAAGCCGGUUGUGAAAGCCCCGGGCUCAACCUGGGAAUGGCAUCCGGAACUGUCAGGCUAGAGUGCAGGAGAGGAAGGUAGAAUUCCCGGUGUAGCGGUGAAAUGCGUAGAGAUCGGGAGGAAUACCAGUGGCGAAGGCGGCCUUCUGGACUGACACUGACGCUGAGGUGCGAAAGCGUGGGUAGCAAACAGGAUUAGAUACCCGUGUAGUC